Varroa destructor (honeybee mite) is the source of this 2914-nucleotide long non-coding RNA. The record is from RefSeq and is a predicted model, not a curated record. NCBI's taxonomy places the organism in Eukaryota, Metazoa, Arthropoda, Arachnida, Mesostigmata, Varroidae.
UAUAUAUUAGUAAUCAAUAUGUUCGCAUUGUAUUCAAUGUAGGGUUGUUUUCUCCAACAAGUGGCUCUAGAAAGAGACGGAAAUCGGUUGAUUCAAUAAGCUGCAAUAGCAAAAAUGCUUCCUAGAGUCUCAUCCAUUACACCGCUUACUCUAAACUUUUUUCCUCUCCUUAUUUAGUCGGCCGGAUGCCGGCCUAGCUCACUCCAAAUUCAAUAACAACUUUUUUUUGAAAGCUAAAAAAACGAAAAUUGCGCUGAUUAAACAGCAGAAGGUCAGUUAAAGCCUUUCUGACCCACUUUUCUCUCCCUCCUUUCUCUUUUUGCCUCCAAUUGUCUCCUGACGCUCCUGUUGGUUCUGCUUGUGGUAGCUCUGUACAAACCCAUCGCUAGACCAGAGUAGCACAUUCUGUCUUUUCCCAGUGUUUCUAUCUCAUUUUUCGUCUCCUUUCCCGCUUCUCGUGUUCCAUUUCUUGCUCAUGCAUCAAAGCGACCUAGAUGAUUUAUAACCCAAGACUAGGAAAAACCCGAGUGCUGCCUAGGCGUUGCUUGCGGUGCUCGUUCACGGUGGUCUACUGCAAGAAAUAUGGACGAGCUCUGAAUGCUGAAGGACCGUUGAAAAGGGGGUUCAUCGGAAAAUUAGAGCUGCGCAAAGAAAGCUGCCGUACAGUUGUAACAGCAGCGUAUUUCAACGGGUGGGCGCAAGGCGGAUUGCGAUAACGGCGGCGAUGAGAAGCCAUCCGUCAGUGUACUAAGAAGUGGAUGUGACUUCGAAACAAAGAAAAGUUCGCAGCCCAGAUCGGCGCAUCAUAGCAUCGUCACUAAUCACUCACCUCCGCCGUGUGCACUCUUCAUUGUUGAGUCUGGCGCAUCUGUUAUAUAUAUAUAUGUAUAUAUAAGGCUCGACACCCUCACUCUGUGCCUGCCCUUCAAGGGAAUGCUGGCAGAUAUUUGCAACGGCUCGCACAAAGCAGCGAACAAGUUUAUAGCCUCAUUGGCUUAGGAUUUGCUCGUAGUUUUCAUAUUUGUCAAACUGCAAUCGGUAAGAAUAUCGUAGGUGGUGAAAAAGACUCUAUUUUUAAAAGGCGACCAACACCGGUGAGCAUUGACGGAUGAUUGUACUCGGCUAUGUUUUCAACAGAGAGACAUGACCAGGCUAGUAAGUUACUUCUAUCAACGACAUCUUCCAGUAAAGUAUGCUAGUUAUCAUAGAGGAUUAAUCAGUUUAGAAUGUUUGGUUUAAUUCUGACGAAUAACGAUUUCAGACUAGAUAAAACGACUGGAGUACUGAAGUGCGAUGCCUCUUAUAGAAUGAUCUGACUGGUAGCCCAGCCAUUGGCUGCCAGAUGAAUUAGGACUUUGAAGAAAUUAGGUGAGGCUAUUUAAAUAGGAAGAUAAAAUAAACCUAUACCGAUCUAACCUAUAGGGACCUCAAAUCAUCUCGUUUAAUCUAAUUAAGAAGGAAUUAUGGAUCUCGGGAAACUGCUCCUGCAGUAGUUAAAGUGUUUAAUCUCAUCAAGAAAUAUAUAAUUAGAAAAAUUAUCUCCUUUUUUGAUUCGGGUUUUUUAAAUCAUAGAUGCUAUCCAAGGGAUCUCGAAAUGUUAAUUUCGAUUUUGAAAUUCUCACAGGAUAUGUCUGUUUAAUAACUUCAUAGUGAUGAUGCAAUGUGAUAAUAAUAAUAAUAAUAACACAUUAACAAAAUAAGAUAGCAGCCAUUCUUCAUCGGAUUAGGUGACCGCGGCGGUGUGGAGGAGCUUUUCGGCCUAACAUGGCCGUUGGAUCGCACCCAGUUUACCAUUGACUCGCUAAUUAUUCUUAGACUAACCGGUGCCGAUGUAGGUCUUUGUUGUUAAAUAUUCUCUCAAGCAACCUAACCUAAUCUACUUCCCUCUUGAAUAUAGACACUGUGGCUCGUCGCUUUCGUCCUCGUCUGUUGCAUCUUUUUCCUGAUGCUACCGUUCAGUGCUGCUGCUGCUGUUGGAGAUGCUCGUUGUUACGUUCUUAUCGUCGUCGUUGAAAAAGCCUUUCGUUGUACGGAAUGUCACCGCAUCCGUGUUUUUCUGAUCUGCUCUGACCGUCCGUGGCUGGAGCAGACCUUUUUGCCAACGUCAGCAAAGGAAGAAGUAAGCGGUAAGCAUCUGGCGAGAUCCACCUUUGUAUUGGACUGUAGGAUUCCGUUAGGCGGAGCCAGUGUAGCGGUGCGAAAGCAACCUGGGAGAACUAAUCUAAGCCUGCUAUUGCGCACGGAAAUAAACAUCUACUGGGUAAGUGAAGUAGAUGUUUUUCCGUCAAUAUAAUAGCCGUUUAAUAAGAAAAAAACAGGCUCACCGGGUCGGUGGUACCUAACGAUGAUGAUAGUGUUUCAAGCUGAAAUGAACAUACUGAGUUGCUUCACUCAAGCCAAAACAGAACUAGCGGAUAGCAACGUGCAGCGAGUUAAGGACAUGGAACCUAGGAAUCAGUACAUAUAUUUUCAUUGACCAAAGGUUGGUAUGCAAAAAAAAUGGGAGCGGGCCAUGCAAGGUGACGGAGAACCAAACGACUACUUAAUUAUAUUUUCUUUGGUAUGACCAACACAACUUGAAAAAUGUGUGUUAGCAAUACCAUGCUCCGUAAAAGAUUCCUAAGGACACGAUUUUUGAGGCCUAUGUACGCUGCGUAUCGCGUCAGAUGACUUGGCUGAUUAGCCUGCGCGGUCGGAGGCAGGUUAAUGCUGUUCGGUAUCUGAAGCAGAUUUAUCAUACGUUUAGAAUCGGUCGCCUCGGACCAACAGUGUUCUCCUUAAGCUGGUUUCCUAGGUAACAUAAGUGUGCUCCUUACUUUAAACAAAGCAUGCUAGUUGCUCAAUAACCUGAGAGUCUUUUUCUGACAGGCUGUCUAUGGGCUUAUGGGAACAGAUUUCGCAUAACGCAGGUAUC